This 632-nucleotide ribosomal RNA is filed under the name uncultured bacterium. Its description in RNAcentral is "bacterial SSU rRNA". It matches the Rfam family "Bacterial small subunit ribosomal RNA", at positions 49 to 694 of the family's 1533-position model. The record is from RNAcentral.
GAACGAAGCACAGAUGUAGAAUUUCUUCGGAAAGGAAGCGCCUGUGACUGAGUGGCGGACGGGUGAGUAACGCGUGGGCAACCUGCCCCAUACCGGGGGACAACAGCUGGAAACGGCUGCUAAUACCGCAUACGUUUUCGGUGCCGCAUGGCGCCGAAAAGAAAACUCCGGUGGUAUGGGAUGGGCCCGCGUCUGAUUAGCUAGUUGGGAGGGUAACGGCCUACCAAGGCGACGAUCAGUAGCCGGCCUGAGAGGGCGACCGGCCACAUUGGGACUGAGACACGGCCCAGACUCCUGCGGGAGGCAGCAGUGGGGAAUAUUGCACAAUGGGGGGAACCCUGAUGCAGCGACGCCGCGUGAGCGAAGAAGUACCUCGGUAUGUAAAGCUCUAUCAGCAGGGAAGAAAGUGACAGUACCUGACUAAGAAGCCCCGGCUAACUACGUGCCAGCAGCCGCGGUAAUACGUAGGGGGCAAGCGUUAUCCGGAUUCACUGGGCGUAAAGGGAGCGCAGGCGGCGCGGCAAGUCUGAUGUGAAAGCCCGGGGCUCAACCCCGGGUCUGCAUUGGAAACUGUCGAGCUGGAGUGUCGGAGGGGUAAGCGGAAUUCCUAGUGUAGCGGUGAAAUGCGUAGA